AGGUCUGCUGUACAGAGAGAAAAUUGACUUUUAAGCACAAAAGAUCCACAUUGGAUCCUGUGUUGUCUAUUCGCAAAGUUCUAUUUGACGUGCUGAGAAAUCUUUCCAUACCUCACAAAUGGUGCCAGGCACAUUGAGGACAAUGCCGCGAGUGGAGAGUACUGUCACUGCAGAUAUCAAAGCCAGGGGCAUCCCAGUUCUACUGGAGCCUGUGAUCUACAGUUUAAUGACAUGUUUUCGGGCCAAUUGAGUGACCUAGUGCUUUGCUGUCUCUGAGAAGAUCCUGAGAGGUGAUGGGCCUUGAAGCCAAGGAGCGCAGAGACAGGGCCGAAGUCCAUGAUUGACUCCAUUUCUCACCAAUCUUGCAGAUUAAAGUGUCGAGGAAGACUGAAACAUCAAGACCCAGACCCUGACGGUCAAGAACUGUCUGGUGACUGUCCAUCCAUCAGCCUCCCAACAUUAAACAAAGCCACGCACAGGUAUUCUCCAUUAAGGAAAACCGUCGGAAGAACCUCAUACUCUACUUGAGUGAUUGCACUGUUUCAGGGUAUAGUUUAAAAUAACCAAUUAACUUAACAGUAGGCAUUUUGGAUAUGUGCAGAAACCACUGCUCCCUUAGAAACCCAUGUAGUCACAGAGUGAACAUGUAAACUCCACACAGUCAGCAUCUGAACUCACGAUCAGACCCAGACCUCAGGGAGCCAUGAGGGGUAACUGCCACUAGGCCGCUUAUGGACGGAGGCCUCUAUCACUGCAAAACAAGUCCAUAUCACGAUUUCUCUCUUUGACCAUAAGAUCUACUCAAAAUCAGGAAAAAAGAAUAGCAAUGUGACAACAAUUUAAUCUUUAAUGAAGAACAGAUUAAAAUACUGUCACUGAUAUUUUUUUUCAACUUAAUUUCUUAAAUCAGUUGGAAUUUUUUUUCAAAGCUCAGAUAAUC
Long non-coding RNA from Hypanus sabinus (Atlantic stingray), 940 nucleotides. RefSeq lists it as uncharacterized. The transcript has 3 exons. Lineage: Eukaryota; Metazoa; Chordata; Chondrichthyes; Myliobatiformes; Dasyatidae. The record is from RefSeq and is a predicted model, not a curated record.